This 743-nucleotide ribosomal RNA is filed under the name uncultured bacterium. Its description in RNAcentral is "bacterial SSU rRNA". It matches the Rfam family "Bacterial small subunit ribosomal RNA", at positions 94 to 823 of the family's 1533-position model. The record is from RNAcentral.
AGCGGCGGAUGGGUGAGUAACACGUGGGGAACCUGCCCCUAAGUCUGGGAUACCAUUUGGAAACAGGAGCUAAUACCGGAUAAUAAAGCAGAUCGCAUGAUCAGCUUUUGAAAGGCGGCGUAAGCUGUCGCUAAGGGAUGGCCCCGCGGUGCAUUAGCUAGUUGGUAAGGUAACGGCUUACCAAGGCGACGAUGCAUAGCCGAGUUGAGAGACUGAUCGGCCACAUUGGGACUGAGACACGGCCCAAACUCCUACGGGAGGCAGCAGUAGGGAAUCUUCCACAAUGGACGCAAGUCUGAUGGAGCAACGCCGCGUGAGUGAAGAAGGUUUUCGGAUCGUAAAGCUCUGUUGUUGGUGAAGAAGGAUAGAGGUAGUAACUGGCCUUUAUUUGACGGUAAUCAACCAGAAAGUCACGGCUAACUACGUGCCAGCAGCCGCGGUAAUACGUAGGUGGCAAGCGUUGUCCGGAUUUAUUGGGCGUAAAGCGAGCGCAGGCGGAAAAAUAAGUCUAAUGUGAAAGCCCUCGGCUUAACCGAGGAACUGCAUCGGAAACUGUUUUUCUUGAGUGCAGAAGAGGAGAGUGGAACUCCAUGUGUAGCGGUGGAAUGCGUAGAUAUAUGGAAGAACACCAGUGGCGAAGGCGGCUCUCUGGUCUGCAACUGACGCUGAGGCUCGAAAGCAUGGGUAGCGAACAGGAUUAGAUACCCUGGUAGUCCAUGCCGUAAACGAUGAGUGCUAAGUGU